This is a non-coding RNA of Marasmius sp. AFHP31, 95 nucleotides long. Lineage: Eukaryota; Fungi; Basidiomycota; Agaricomycetes; Agaricales; Marasmiaceae. The record is from the annotation of a GenBank genome assembly.
GGGCACAUGGUGUAGGGGUUAUCACGUUCGCUUUGCAUAUCGUCCAUCUCGAUGAGGUGUGCGAAAGGUCUCCGGUUCAAUUCCGGAUGUGUCCA